AGUGAACGCUGGCGGCAGGCCUAACACAUGCAAGUCGAACGGCAGCACAGUAGAGCUUGCUCUAUGGGUGGCGAGUGGCGGACGGGUGAGGAAUGCGUCGGAAUCUGCCUUUUUGUGGGGAUAACGUAGGGAAACUUACGCUAAUACCGCAUACGACCUACGGGUGAAAGUGGGGGACCUUCGGGCCUCACGCAGAAAGAUGAGCCGACGCCGGAUUAGCUAGUUGGCGGGGUAAAGCCCACCAAGGCGACGAUCCGUAGCUGGUCUGAGAGGAUGAUCAGCCACACUGGGACUGAGACACGGCCCAGACUCCUACGGGAGGCUG
RNAcentral lists this ribosomal RNA (325 nucleotides) under uncultured Pseudomonadota bacterium. RNAcentral's name for it is "bacterial SSU rRNA". It matches the Rfam family "Bacterial small subunit ribosomal RNA", at positions 29 to 351 of the family's 1533-position model. The record is from RNAcentral. Lineage: Bacteria; Pseudomonadati; Pseudomonadota.